ACCCGAAGUCGCCUGGCCAACCCGCAAGGGAAGUAAGCGCCUAAGGUCUGGACAGUGACUGGGGUGAAGUCGUAACAAGGUAGCUGUAGGUGAACCUGCAGAAGGAUCA
RNAcentral lists this ribosomal RNA (109 nucleotides) under uncultured eukaryote. RNAcentral's name for it is "partial small subunit ribosomal RNA". It matches the Rfam family "Bacterial small subunit ribosomal RNA", at positions 1419 to 1525 of the family's 1533-position model. The record is from RNAcentral.